Molecule: long non-coding RNA, 1769 nt
Filed under: Schizosaccharomyces pombe (fission yeast)
Lineage: Eukaryota; Fungi; Ascomycota; Schizosaccharomycetes; Schizosaccharomycetales; Schizosaccharomycetaceae
Description: non-coding RNA, possible alternative UTR
Source: RNAcentral
CUCAUUUAAUACCAAUUUUAAUAUUAUUAUAUUCUAUUAAUUAAUAGGCUAGCAACUACUGUAGACAAAAAUCUACAAAUUCUAUACAACUCAUUAGAAAUACAUCAAGGAGUAAAAAAAAACAAAAGAUCACAGAUAAUAUCGGAAGUCGUCAGCAAAGUCACCAAUGGCAGAUGGAUCAAAUUCACCACGAGCACAUCGCUCAUCUCGCUUUUUGUUCACGUAACGAAGUGAAAAGAACAUGACAACGUAGGCGAGUCCGCCAACUAUAACACAGCCUAAUGUGAAAGCAUUACCCAAAAUGUAUUUUGGAGCAUUUUUAGACCGAUAAAUCUGACCAGCAACAAUGCCCGAACUGUUCGCAAGAGUCUGCUGAAUUCCUAUCGCAGUUGCUCUUUUGUAAUGACCCGCAACGUUAUUGUUCAACCACCCGAGAUUUAAACCAGGACCGAUGUAACAUCCUAUGGCAAUAAUAUAAGUUGCAGUAUACUUUGCAGCAUUAGAAUCGCUUGCUAACAUUAUUAUAUAUCCAACUGCAACAACGGUUGAAGCUGAAAUUAAAUAUACAGCUCGUAGCUGAGUGCGAUCAGAGAGCCAUGCAACAAAUAAAAAUGAUAUCACACCAGCAAUAUAUACUGGAAUAGUCAUAUAGUUAGUUUGAAGGCCUACAAAACCAAGACCCUUAAUAAUGACAGGCAAGAAAGAUGAAAAUCCAUACAACACCAUAUCGGCACAAAAUUGAGACGUAGCAGAAACGUAAACUUUGGGAUCCUUAAAGGCCUUCCUAACUUCUGACCAUUCAAAAUGUUGCUCACCAUGAUAACGGGCGUUAAUAUCUCUACGAAUAAUAGCAACCUCCCUUUCUUCACGGGUAAGGAACCAAGCAUUUUCCAUCUUAUCCGGAAGAGCAAAUAAACAAAGUGGAACACCAAUAAAGGAAACGAGACCUUCUACGAUGUAUAUCCAUUGCCAACCUUCUUUGUUACCAGCAUGAACUUGCUCAAGAGCAUAAGCAAAAAGACCUCCAAAAGCACCUGCUAAACCAGCCGAAGCAAACAAGUAGGAAAGACGCUGGCAUUGUUCUUUGCGGGUGUAAUGAGUUGUCAGAUACAAGUUAAGCGCAGGAAAUAAGCAACCUUCCAACAAACCAAGAAUUAAGCGUGUAGCAAUCAAACCUCCAUAGCUUGACAUAAAUCCAGAAAACAGAACAGUCAUGCUCCAUGCAAAAGAUAUAAAUGCCAACAUCCGCGAGGCUUUAAUUCGUUUAACCAAAACGACACUAGGAGUCUCAACCAAAAUAUACAAUACAUAAAAAAUACUAACAGCAACAUUUAAACGUUCUCCAUAAAGACUCAAUGCCUCAGUCAUACCAGCAACAGCAGCAUUACCAAUAUUUGAGCGAUCCAAAAAUGCCAUUAAAUAAAGGAACCCAAUAAUGGGACUGAUUACAAGGUCCAUUUUCAAAAGUAGUUUCUUUUCAACCUUUGGGUCGAUUUUUAACGAGGCUGUAUCUCCAUAAUCCACAUCUGGCGACGCUGUAUUCUGGAGUUUCUCCUUAUUUAUUUCUGAAGCAUAAAUGCUAUGCUCAUCGUCUUUUGAGAUUUUAUAUUCCGAUUGAUCUGACAUUUUGCCAAACUUUGGUCUAUUAGAAUAUUAUGCGAAACAGGAGAGCAAACCGCUUCUUUAUAUUCGCAUUUCAGUCAACCAUACAGAUCCAUAUCUAAUUUCCUAAUAGUUACAAAAGAGGGGGUUUUUUAUCAUUGAUAAAC